Molecule: non-coding RNA, 284 nt
Filed under: Callithrix jacchus (white-tufted-ear marmoset)
Lineage: Eukaryota; Metazoa; Chordata; Mammalia; Primates; Cebidae
Description: Eukaryotic small subunit ribosomal RNA
Rfam family: Eukaryotic small subunit ribosomal RNA
Source: Rfam by way of RNAcentral
UAAAGAUACCUGAAAAUAUGGAAGCAACCUUGGAACUGGGUAAUGGACAGUGUUGACAGAUUGAUAACUGUUUCUCACUUCUGUGGGAGGUGAUGAAUGGCCCUUCUUAGUUGGCUGAGUGAUUUGCCUGGUCAAUUCUGAUAAAGAAUAAGACUCUGGCAUGCUAAUGUGUUUUGCAAUCCCCAAGUCGUUAGUGUCCCUCAGUUUCUUAUAGGGACAAGUGGCAUUCAGCCACUUCAGAUUGAGCAGUAGCAGUUCUGAGAUGCUCUUAGGUGUCUGGGGCU